This 72-nucleotide transfer RNA is filed under the name Bos taurus (domestic cattle). It matches the Rfam family "tRNA". From Rfam's summary of the family: Transfer RNA (tRNA) molecules are approximately 80 nucleotides in length. Their secondary structure includes four short double-helical elements and three loops (D, anti-codon, and T loops). RNAcentral also lists the same sequence under 5 other names. Lineage: Eukaryota; Metazoa; Chordata; Mammalia; Artiodactyla; Bovidae. The record is from Rfam by way of RNAcentral.
UCCCUUUUAGCUCAAUUAGUAAAGAAUCUGCCUGCAUUGCAGGAGACCCAGGUUCAAUCCCUGGGUUGGGAA